GACGAACGCUGGCGGCGUGCUUAACACAUGCAAGUCGAACGGAAAGGCCCUGCUUGCAGGGUACUCGAGUGGCGAACGGGUGAGUAACACGUGGGUGAUCUGCCCUGCACUUCGGGAUAAGCCUGGGCAACUGGGUCUAAUACCGGAUAGGAGCCAUUUUUAGUGUGAUGGUUGGAAAGUUUUUUCGGUGUAGGAUGAGCUCGCGGCCUAUCAGCUUGUUGGUGGGGUAAUGGCCUACCAAGGCGGCGACGGGUAGCCGGCCUGAGAGGGUGGACGGCCACAUUGGGACUGAGAUACGGCCCAGACUCCUACGGGAGGCAGCAGUGGGGAAUAUUGCACAAUGGGCGCAAGCCUGAUGCAGCGACGCCGCGUGGGGGAUGACGGCCUUCGGGUUGUAAACUCCUUUCGCUAGGGACGAAGCUUUUGUGACGGUACCUAGAUAAGAAGCACCGGCUAACUACGUG
RNAcentral lists this ribosomal RNA (464 nucleotides) under uncultured bacterium. RNAcentral describes it as "partial 16S ribosomal RNA". It matches the Rfam family "Bacterial small subunit ribosomal RNA", at positions 28 to 507 of the family's 1533-position model. The record is from RNAcentral.